Long non-coding RNA from Paramormyrops kingsleyae, 2459 nucleotides. RefSeq lists it as uncharacterized. The record is from RefSeq and is a predicted model, not a curated record. NCBI's taxonomy places the organism in Eukaryota, Metazoa, Chordata, Actinopteri, Osteoglossiformes, Mormyridae.
UUUGUUUUUUUUAUAGAUUAUGACUAUUAUUUGUGAUCCCUGCAACCCUAAAAAAAUCACCGUUUAUGUCAUUCAUAUGUCUAUUCAGAUGUCAACGCGAGAGACAACUCAACUGGCAACUCAGCGUAACUGUUAUGCUGAAUUAUGUCAUACCAUGUAUGCUGUUCCACAUGAUGUUACAGGCCUAGUGGCGAGAAUCCUUCUCGACAGGCGCAGGUGGGAUUCAAGACGCAGCGAGGUUGAAUAGGGUUCAGCGUUCCAUCCACUGCAGCUACAAUAACAGGUCUGCAGGAAUCCAGUGGCGUAGAAGCAGAGAGCUGUCAGAAGCUGCACGGUGCACCGAGGGCAAAAGUCCAGUGUGUUCCUCUUUUCAAUUUAUCCUGCACCAGACCAAGAGGCUCAUUAUUUCACCUCAGGCCAGCCUGUACUUCUCUAUGAAUUGUUCAUUAAUGAGAUGAUCCGAGGGGUUCAUGGCCACCCGCAAAACAGCAACUUGGCUUCCUGGAUGACUCCAUCUCAAACAUUUUCUUGGCUGACUUGCAGCAUAUACCUCCCUUUUAGUAAGCAUGUCCACUCCUUUCUGUGUUCAGUAAUGUUAGUUUGCACAGGGGGGGCGGCCAGUUCAACUUGGACCCCCAGAGGUUUUUUUUCUCCCUACUUGGGAGUUUUUGGUUCCUCUCCUCCAUUGUCUUCUGGCUUUCUUCUUUCUUUAUUCAAUUUCUUUCCUUCUUUCUUUCCCUUUCUGUAUCUCCCUCUACUUAUGUUGUAUGUAUCACAACACAACUUUGUUCUGAAAGGCUCUUUAUAAAAAUAAAUUGAAUUGAAUUGAAUUGAAUUUAACAAUUCUCUGCCUCAUGAGGGGGUGAUUCACCUUCCCAAUUCAAAGGAUGUGACUGAACACAUUGCAAGUUUGAUUGGUUUGCUCAUUACGCAGCCUAACAGGGUUGUUUGGAAUUUAUGAAUUGUGCCCCAUUCUAUUAAUGAAUUGGAAUUUGAAUUGAAUUGCCCACAUCCUAUAAAUUGAAUUGAAAUGACAGUAAGAAGAAUUUAAUUCAUUUCAAUUCAAUGCAUUUCAAUGCAAUCACACAACACAAGAAUGUCAUUUAAUCUAGCAAAACAUAAAUAAUAACAUAAUAGAUUUACUUUCAAGAUGGUAAAUGUAUUUAUUGACUUUAUAUAAACCUUGUAUAAAAUUUGUCUUUGGUCGAUUAUUUCUUUGUUGUGACAAGGCUUCUUGGCCAUAAAUCUUAUACCGAAAGCCUGUUUAUUUCCCUUGUAAAUGGUGCCACAUUUGUAAGGAAAAUGCAUUUGUAGGCUUGUCAUCAUUGGAGGUAAUUCCAAUGCAGAGAGAUAUCGAGAUGAGGUUCUGCAGCUAGUGGCAAUCCUAUAUCUCCAGUCUAGGACUAAACUAUAUCCUCCAAGAUGACAACGCUCGCCCCCACUGAGUGGGGUUUAUCAGAGACUACCUGCAGAAUUUGGGAGUGGAGAGGAUGGAAUGCAAUUAAUGCAUUAAUUCAACCCCAUUGUGCAAAAUGUGUCAGGGUCAGCACCCGUUUGUCCCAGUCUUUCGUGUCUUCUCCCCGUUUGGCCAGCAGGUGCCGCUGGCCAUCCUGUCCUCCCCGUUGUCAGUCUUUAGUGUGUUUCCCCUGCUCCCCGGAUGGCUCAAUAAGUUGAGUGUGUGGCUACCUGUAAACUCCUGUGUUCACAUCUUGCCUCCUCUGUUUUUGUAAAUUUUGUUCCCUAGUAUUUCAUUUGUGUCAGUUUUUCUAGUUCCUGAGUUUUGUGACUUGUAUUCGGUUUUGGUUUUCUGCUUUGUGCCCAUGGUUGUGUUUUACCUGUCUUUGUUAUUCCCCUAUUUAGAGAUUCUGUUUCUUAGCUUCUCUGUUAGUUUCUGAGUUCCUUGAUUUAAUUAGUUGUUUCACCUGUUGCCUAUUUUACCAGCCCUUGUUAAUUGUUCUCACCUGUCCUGCAUUAUUCUUGUUAGCCCUCUGUAUUUACGUUCCGGAUCCUGUUCUGUUCCUGGUGGAGUCAUUGUUGUUGUUGAUGAUGUUCUAGAUGAUGGUGUUUUUGUUGACUGUGUUUUUGCUAUUUUUGAUUCCCUGCCUGUUCUCUGUGUAGCUAGUUUCCCUUUGUAUAUUAAUUUGUUCUGUUAGUUACUUUGUACCCUUUUUUAUAGUUUUGACCUCUCGUGGUCUGUUUUUUAGUAUUUCCUAGUGUUUUCUGUUUCUGUUAAUAAACCCCUGUUGUAGUCCUGCAGCCGCCAGUGAAUCGUCCACCUUCUUUCAUGCCCACACCAUGCCUCGCCCCCUUGUCAGAAACUCGCAAGACCAUGACAAAAUGUCUCACAGACUUUUAUCCAUUUUAGUUUUUUACAAAUGCAAUGCAUCGUAAAUGCUUGAGAGAAAUUCAUAGUACAUUAUGUUGGUGUAUGUUGAUGCUUCCAUGUCUCAUUCUCGCCA